GUCUAUGGCCAUGCUACCCUGAACAAGCCCGAUCCCGUCUGAUCUCAGAAGCUAAGCAGGCUUGGGCCUGGUUAGUACUUGGAUGGGAGACCACCUAGGAAGACCAGGUGCUGUAGGCA
This 119-nucleotide ribosomal RNA is filed under the name Pteropus alecto (black flying fox). Lineage: Eukaryota; Metazoa; Chordata; Mammalia; Chiroptera; Pteropodidae. The record is from RNAcentral.